Molecule: microRNA precursor, 56 nt
Filed under: Triops cancriformis
Lineage: Eukaryota; Metazoa; Arthropoda; Branchiopoda; Notostraca; Triopsidae
Description: microRNA tcf-mir-13 precursor
Gene: tcf-mir-13
Source: miRBase by way of RNAcentral
CGUCGGAAUGGCUGCGGUGUGUUGCGUUGGUUCAUAUCACAGCCAUUCUUGAUGAG